RNAcentral lists this ribosomal RNA (506 nucleotides) under uncultured bacterium. RNAcentral's name for it is "partial 16S ribosomal RNA". It matches the Rfam family "Bacterial small subunit ribosomal RNA", at positions 29 to 523 of the family's 1533-position model. The record is from RNAcentral.
AGUGAACGCUGGCAGUAGGCCUAACACAUGCAAGUCGAACGGCAGCACAGGAGAGCUUGCUCUCUGGGUGGCGAGUGGCGGACGGGUGAGGAAUACAUCGGAAUCUACUCUGUCGUGGGGGAUAACGUAGGGAAACUUACGCUAAUACCGCAUACGACCUACGGGUGAAAGCAGGGGACCUUCGGGCCUUGCGCGAUUGAAUGAGCCGAUGUAGGAUUAGCUAGUUGGCGGGGUAAAGGCCCACCAAGGCGACGAUCCGUAGCUGGUCUGAGAGGAUGAUCAGCCACACUGGAACUGAGACACGGUCCAGACUCCUACGGGAGGCAGCAGUGGGGAAUAUUGGACAAUGGGCGCAAGCCUGAUCCAGCCAUACCGCGUGGGUGAAGAAGGCCUUCGGGUUGUAAAGCCCUUUUGUUGGGAAAGAAAUCCAGCUGGCUAAUACCCGGUUGGGAUGACGGUACCCAAAGAAUAAGCACCGGCUAACAUCGUGCCAGCAGCCGCCGUAA